Molecule: ribosomal RNA, 450 nt
Filed under: uncultured bacterium
Lineage: Bacteria
Description: partial 16S ribosomal RNA
Rfam family: Bacterial small subunit ribosomal RNA
Source: RNAcentral
GUGGGGAAUAUUGGACAAUGGGCGAAAGCCUGAUCCAGCCAUGCCGCGUGUGUGAAGAAGGUCUUCGGAUUGUAAAGCACUUUAAGUUGGGAGGAAGGGCAGUAAGUUAAUACCUUGCUGUUUUGACGUUACCGACAGAAUAAGCACCGGCUAACUUCGUGCCAGCAGCCGCGGUAAUACGAAGGGUGCAAGCGUUAAUCGGAAUUACUGGGCGUAAAGCGCGCGUAGGUGGUUUUGUAAGUUGGAGGUGAAAUCCCCGGGCUCAACCUGGGAACUGCCUCCAAAACUGCAUGACUAGAGUACGGUAGAGGGUAGUAGAAUUUCCUGUGUAGCGGUGAAAUGCGUAGAUAUAGGAAGGAACACCAGUGGCGAAGGCGACUACCUGGACUGAUACUGACACUGAGGUGCGAAAGCGUGGGGAGCAAACAGGAUUAGAUACCCUAGUAGUCC